Molecule: ribosomal RNA, 372 nt
Filed under: uncultured organism
Description: bacterial SSU rRNA
Rfam family: Bacterial small subunit ribosomal RNA
Source: RNAcentral
CAGAGGGUGCAAGCGUUGUUCGGAAUUACUGGGCGUAAAGCGCGCGUAGGCGGUUUUGUAUGUCGGAUGUGAAAUCCCAUGGCUUAACCAUGGAAGUGCAUUCGAAACUGCAGGGCUUGAGCGCAGAAGAGGAAGGUGGAAUUCCCAGUGUAGAGGUGAAAUUCGUAGAUAUUGGGAGGAACACCGGUGGCGAAGGCGGCCUUCUGGUCUGUAACUGACGCUGAGACGCGAAAGCGUGGGUAGCAAACAGGAUUAGAUACCCUGGUAGUCCACGCCCUAAACGAUGAAUACUUGAUGUGGGAAGAGUUAACCCUUUCCGUGUCGAAGCUAACGCGUUAAGUAUUCCGCCUGGGGAGUACGGUCGCAAGAUUA